UGAGGAAUAUUGGUCAAUGGGCGGAAGCCUGAACCAGCCAAGUAGCGUGAGGGAUGACUGCCCUAUGGGUUGUAAACCUCUUUUAUAAGGGAAUAAAAUACGGGACGUGUCCUGUUUUGCAUGUACCUUAUGAAUAAGGACCGGCUAAUUCCGUGCCAGCAGCCGCGGUAAUACGUAGGUGGCGAGCGUUGUCCGGAAUUAUUGGGCGUAAAGGGAGCGCAGGCGGGAGAUCAAGUCUAUCUUAAAAGUGCGGGGCUCAACCCCGUGAGGGGAUGGAAACUGGUCUUCUUGAGUGCAGGAGAGGAAAGCGGAAUUCCUAGUGUAGCGGUGAAAUGCGUAGAUAUUAGGAGGAACACCAGUGGCGAAGGUGGCUUUCUGGACUGUAACUGACGCUGAGGCUCGAAAGCGUGGGGAGCGAACAGGAUUAGAUACCCUGGUAGU
This 441-nucleotide ribosomal RNA is filed under the name uncultured Mitsuokella sp. Its description in RNAcentral is "bacterial SSU rRNA". It matches the Rfam family "Bacterial small subunit ribosomal RNA", at positions 355 to 794 of the family's 1533-position model. The record is from RNAcentral. Lineage: Bacteria; Bacillati; Bacillota; Negativicutes; Selenomonadales; Selenomonadaceae.